CGUUGGGAGUACCACCACUUUUAUGUGGUUUUGCGAUACGGCCCUGUGGCGCAGUUGGUUAGCGCGCCGCCCUGUCA
RNAcentral lists this transfer RNA (77 nucleotides) under Corynebacterium pseudotuberculosis. RNAcentral's name for it is "tRNA-Asp". The record is from RNAcentral. Lineage: Bacteria; Bacillati; Actinomycetota; Actinomycetes; Mycobacteriales; Corynebacteriaceae.